UACCUACGGGGGGCAGCAGUAGGGAAUCUUCCACAAUGGACGAAAGUCUGAUGGAGCAACGCCGCGUGAGUGAAGAAGGGUUUCGGCUCGUAAAGCUCUGUUGGUAGUGGAGAAAGAUAGAGGUAGUAACUGGCCUUUAUUUGACGGGAAUUACUUAUAAAGUCACGGCUAACUACGUGCCAGCAGCCGCGGUAAUACGUAGGUGGCAAGCGAUGUCCGGAUUUAUUGGGCGUAAAGCGAGUGCAGGCGG
Molecule: ribosomal RNA, 250 nt
Filed under: uncultured bacterium
Lineage: Bacteria
Description: partial 16S ribosomal RNA
Rfam family: Bacterial small subunit ribosomal RNA
Source: RNAcentral